RNAcentral lists this unclassified non-coding RNA (1232 nucleotides) under Leishmania donovani. RNAcentral's name for it is "gene:unknown". Lineage: Eukaryota; Euglenozoa; Kinetoplastea; Trypanosomatida; Trypanosomatidae. The record is from RNAcentral.
CGCACCACGCUCGCCGGUGGGCGCAGCAUUCGUCUGCUGCGCAUGAAGCACCGAUAGGGACCUCACUCCCCCUCCCCUCUCGUUGGCUUCGCCGCUCUCUCUCUGUCUUUCCGUGUGCACGCGCGUGUAUGCACACCUGUGGGCAAGUGCCACGGGUGAAGGAUAACACGCAGACACACACAGGGCACGAAAGUCGGGUGUGGUCAUCAACGUCGCACACGCGGAGCGCUACUAGCACGGGGAGUCUGUGGUGAUAACAAUGCUGGUGCCUCAGCAUAGGCCGCAAGCGACUCGGAGAGCACCGCGAAGCCGAAUGGCAUCGGCGCGCCGGAGAUGCACUCGGUGAUGACCAAUGACCACAACACCUCUGGCAACCGCGAUGCAGCGAGCCGGGCUGGAAGUCGGCAAAGGUGACAGCAUCCGGCACGACAAACACGAAGAUAGCGAUAGCACUCCGGGCGGCGCCUAACGCCAAGCGCUGCUGGGGUAGGAAGGAGGGAGGCGAGGUGCGGGGUGUGAGAGGGAGGGUUUCCACACACACACACACACAGGCCGGCGUGGCACCAGCAUACGCCGGCGUCACCCGAGGCUCUCUCUUCUCUCGACAGCAUUCCACCGCCUCCCAUGGCGAGCGCCGCGCAGCAACAACGAAAGGGAGUCACGCUAGAGACGCAAGCGUAUGAGCGCACGCUGAGACGUAGCCGUCCUCUUGGAGGAGCGAGGCGGACAGACUCUAUGUGCGCUCGUGUGUGUGUGUGUGUGUGUGUAUCUGUGUCUGUGUCUGUAUCCGUCCGUGUAUUCGGGGUACUCUUUGUGCAACAGUACGGGGACGGGAGCGGGGGCGGUGCGUGUGCCUUCUUCCGUGUCUCUCCAGCCUUCUUCCUUGCUUGUAUGUGGUGCUGCACACGGGUGUCUGUGCCCCUCCCCCAUCACCAUCACCAUCACCACAACAACCAGCAGCCAAGAAGGGGGCCUUCGCUCGGGUGUGCUGCUGCACGCGCCCCCAUGGCCGCCGUCACCCCUCACAACACCUACAGCGAGAAGGGCACGGAGACACACGAGCAGAGGGAGGCGCGUACGGGCUCCACCCCCUUCUCUCACGCUUCGUCUUCUCCAUCACACAUGCACAACGGAUCUCCUUCCGCCUCUGCACACUGCGCGUUUGCCAGCCUCUCUGAAGUGGCGCGCUCCUCCGACCGUCGUUCUCUCCCACGCCUCCCUCAUCAUCGCAG